RNAcentral lists this long non-coding RNA (3118 nucleotides) under Marmota monax (woodchuck). Lineage: Eukaryota; Metazoa; Chordata; Mammalia; Rodentia; Sciuridae. The record is from RNAcentral.
CUUCAUUUUGCCAAAGCAAAAGAUGUUUGGAUCCUUCUGGUGUCUCCUGUUCACUGCCAUGAAUAGUGUGCAUUUUCAUUUUUAUCUAGUUACUGGAACUGAACAGAUGAUGAGAAUCCAAAUACAUUCCAGAAAUGCUAUCCAUGAUAUGGAAGGGAAAUUAGAAUGGCUGUUAUGACUCUCUUGAGGAGAAAAUCUUUUCAAUCUGCUUGUUUUUGUUGUGUAUCGCUCCCUUUCUCAAUCCUUUCCUUCUUUUAUUUCUUGAACCAAACUGAGGAGCUUAGCAAAGCUCAGGCUUCUCAUGAUUCCAGAAAGUUCUCAUGAAUUUAUUGGCUAUUUCCUAGAGAGUCAAAGUCUCUAGACCUUCAGGAACCUGCAACGAGGAAGCCCACAGGUCUUCUCCCCAUGAAGUUUAAAUGUUAAAGUUUCAGGUUGAAUUUGGAGCCUUGGUUAGCACUGAGGUUCUGAGUUUCUGAAGAGAAACUUCUGUGGGGGAUGUUUAGUGUAGCUGCCCACCUCGGGAUGUCUGCAGUAGCUCAGAAGCUAAAAUGCAGAGUUGAUCUGGUUUCAUUUUCUAGUAGGAAGCUUGAAAUGGUAAUAUAAAUGUGAAUUAAAACAUAAAUUCGGAAUACCAAAAGACAGCACAAAAGUUGGUCAAGAUAUGAAAAAAAGCAAAUUAGUUUCCUAAGAAAACAAAGAAGCAUCAAAAAGAGUGUUUAAUGUGCUUAGCCCUAGAACUUACUUUUCUAUUUUUAAAGCUCAAUAUUUCAUCAACUGCCCCUCUCCCAGAGGGAGUGAAGUAAAUAGUUGUCAUAUCUGGGCCCCAUCAUCUCCAGGUGGUGAUAAGAACAUUACCAGCACUUCAUGAUUUGGGGAAGAAUCAGGAGAGAUAAGGCAUGUAUUGUGCUCCCCUCACUACCCAAAUCUCAGGAAGCACUCAGAAAUUUAGGCAUCAGCAAACUAUAGCUCCUGGGCAAGUCCAGGCCAGUACCUGUUUUGAACAGCCAGUGAGCCAAGAAUGGCUUUUACAUUUUUGAAUGGUUUGAAAAAAAUGGAAAGAAUAACAUUUCAUGACGUGUGGAAACUAUAAUUCAAAUCUCAGUGUGUGCUGAUAAUGUUUUAUUAGGUCACGGCCAGACUCACUCCUACCACGUCACCUGUGGCUGCUUUGCUGUUAGGGCAGCAGAGCUGGGGAGACCAUGCUAGCGGCAGGACCUUUUGCAAGAAAGCUGGGUGACCCCCAAUGUAAUCGUUAGUGACCAGGCUGCAAGGUCAUCUUUGAGUUCUUCCCAGUCAUGAGGAUUAAAUUUCCUAGUAAAAUGACAUGGGCGUCCCCAUGAAGAGAAGGGAUAUGUAAAAAGGAAAAACUUAAUGGGAGAGAUGGCAUCGGUCAAAACAAUAUGUGGCCCCGGAACCCUGGCUGAAGAGCAGUCAGAUGCGAUUGGUCAGGUCACAAGAGGGCUCUCACUCCUGGCUUUUUCUGGGUCAAAUAGAAUUGAGUUUAUUUUUUUAAAUUUCUCUAUGCCCAACUUUCCAAAACAAUCUGUCAACCAGAAAGGUCCAUUCAUAUUUAAUCAGAAAAAAAAAAGUUUACUGUUUUUCCUGGGGUAUGCUUUUUAUCCUAUCAGAAAUGAUAUCUAUAUAAACCGUAGAAAUUAUUGAAUCUUUCAGUGGUGAUUUGGAAAUGUUGGGCUGUUAAUGGACUGAGUUAAUGUUCUAACUAACGAAAACAACUUCCUUCCCAAGGCAAAGUACACUUAUGCUGUUUCCCUCUUAAUAAGAGAACUUUUAGUCACCAGUGAAACCCAAGCACGACCUGGAUGAGAAAGAAAAAGGAAUGUAUUGAGCGUCAUCAUUGGAAAGUAGAAUUGAUUUCAAGUUCCCUCAGGGCUCUCCCUUGGCUCAGCCUUCUUGGUCUGGGUGCCUUCUCAGCUUUCCAACAUCACAUUACCCAGUCCUGAGUAAAGGAGAGAUCUCUCCAGGUCCAAGCCCACAGGUCCUGGAAUUGUCUCCUUCAUUGGCUCAGAUGUGUUCACGUGCUCUGUUAGUCAGCUUUUGCCAGGUUUUGUUGCAGUAACAACCAAAUCCCAAAUUUUAGUGGCUUUCAACAGCUUUCUCUCUCUUUUUUUUUUUUCCACUUGUGCCAUAAGUCAGCUGUAUAUUUACCACGGCUAUUUCACGUGGUCUCUUUCUGCUGAGAUCUAGCAUAAAUAAGCGGUCCCUCCACAAGGACCUGUGGGGAGAGAAGAACGCCAUGGAGAAGCCACAAUGGCUCUUAAAGCCUCAGCUCAGAUGUGGCUUAUGUCAUAUCCACUCGUAUCCAUUCACUAAAGCAGGUCACCCAGCAAGGGGCACAGAUGUGUGAUUCUUUCCCAAGAAGAUGGAGUGAAUAAUUGUAAAAAUAACACACUCUGCCCACCCGAUGCUGCCUUCCCAAGGAGCUAGACCAGGUUGGUUGGCUGAGACUUUUUCAAUCAGUCAGGGAGGAUGGUUGCCCCAAAACAAAACUGGCUGCUAUAAACUGAUGAGAAAAAAAAAGAGUUACUGGGUAGGAAAGAAAAUCUCUAAUUCUCCGUAACCAAAUAAUCACAUUAUAAAUCCAAUAAAAAAAAAGAAUCUAAAAUAAAACCCUUAAAUACCAAUAUUAUUAUGUGGUGGCUGAAGUUUUAAGUGGAGGAUAUCUGUUUUGCUAUAAAUUAGUUCCCAAAACUCACAGCUCUAAUAAAAAAAAGAAAGAAAACCUGUAUAAACAAAAUUUCAAAAGGCACACGCCUGUAAUCCCAGUGGCUUGGGAGGCUGAGGCAGGAAGAUCUCCAGUUCAAAGCCAGCCUCAGCAAUGGCAAGGUGCUAAGCAACACAGUGAGACCCUGUCUCUAAAUAAAAUACAAAACAGGGAUAGGAAUGUAACUCAUUGGGCGAGUGCCCCUGAGUUCAAUCCCUGGUACCAAUAAAUUAAAAAUAAAAAAUAUAAGUACGGUAUAAAAUUUGAGGUAAUAUGUAACACCCUUUACAGAAAGGUAUAUUUUGCAAGUUAAACAUACUGGCCAAUCCUAUACAAUGUAUACACCUUCCCUGUUGAAGUUAAGCAAGGGAGAUUCAAUUCUAAACUAUAGCUCAC